This 98-nucleotide non-coding RNA is filed under the name Fragilariopsis kerguelensis. Lineage: Eukaryota; Bacillariophyta; Bacillariophyceae; Bacillariales; Bacillariaceae. The record is from RNAcentral.
GAGAAAGAGAGAAGAAGAGAAAGAAAGAAGAAGACCCGAUUGGAAUUCACUCUCCUAUCCUCAAUGUCUCAUUUGUUUUUCUUUUCUUUUCUUCGCUC